AUAUUAUUACCUACACUAGAAAAUAAUUUAUGAUAUUUCACUCUCCAAAUAAAACGGAAAUCCAGGAAUGAAAAUUGAAAGAAAUUAAAAAAUGAUUCCACGAAAUAAGGUUAAUAAAAUUUUUAAAAAAUAGCUUAAAAAAAUUUUUUUUUUUUAAAUAUGCCUUCGGUUCUGGUUUGGGUACAGCAAAAAUACGAGGGUUCAGGGUCCGGAUUAAUGUUGUAACGAUUCGUUUUGAGACGAUUUUUAAAAACGAUAAACUCAAUAUUUUAGCCAGAAAAAUGUUGCCUAAACCCUGAGAUUUCGUUGAUAGAUGUCCAAACCUUUGUUCCUUCUACAAGCAAAAUCUUCAGGCUUGCGUAUUAUUUUGGGUGAAAUAUUGAGUUAGCCGUUUUUAAAAAUCGGCUCAAAAUGAGCCGUUUAACAACACUAGUCCGGAUUCACAUUCCUGGUAAAUAUUCAUUCUGUAAUUUUGGCCAAAACCUUCUAUAUACCUAUAAAUUUAAUAUAUGAAAAAAAAACUAUGUUUUUAAUAUAUUUGUUUUUUUAUUCUACCUAAAAAUAUUUAAUGCCGUUAACUCGCCUCGCCUAAGAGGUCAGAAUUGGGAUUGGCAAAACGUUAAGGAGUCAGGGGAAAAGUAGAAUCUAAUAAGAAACGGGACAUUGUUGAUUCUUAGGAAGAAACCUCGGAAUAUUGGCAACAUAAAAUUUUACUCCUUAGUCUACAAAAGCCCAGCAUUGGUUGAUACUUCGGUUAUAAAUUUGACGGAGAAAUGGCUUGUUAGCUGAGUGGUAAACUGAAACUAUUGGGCUGAAACUUAAUUGAGAAUUUGGGGCUUCUGAAACUGCUAGGUGGAUUACGUCUAAAGUAAGUUAGCUUCCGCAAAAAAAUAUGAUGAAUAGACCUUACGUUUCUGACCUCAGAACAUGCCGAACUCGUUAAAACACAAAUGCUAUAGUCAAGGACCCAGGCGUUUUCACAUUUUCCUUUCAAUUUCCGUCCAAAUGACCAAAUGAUAUAAUUAGUUGAAUUUAAUAUGAGCGGUUCUUAUAUUACAGAUUAUCGAUAAUAUAAAUGUUAUUCUUUCAAAAAAUCAAAUAUAUAAUAAUUCUUAUUAUGAAAAUUUACAAAGGAAUUAAUAUGUAUA
This is a long non-coding RNA of Gordionus sp. m RMFG-2023, 1148 nucleotides long. RefSeq lists it as uncharacterized. NCBI's taxonomy places the organism in Eukaryota, Metazoa, Nematomorpha, Gordioida, Chordodea, Parachordodidae. The record is from RefSeq and is a predicted model, not a curated record. The transcript has 3 exons.